UUUACAACUGUCUCAACUUUAUUCCUAAAAAUGCUCCAGAAUGCCAGUUUUCCGUAUUUGGUGUGCUGAUCGCAUCAUAAGGAAAUCGGUUGUGUCAGUAGCAGAAAUUGAAGAACUAAAGAAAAAAAGCAACACAAAAACUCGGUUUGGAGUUGGUAGGACCUACGAAGUUAGUUCUAGAGAAAUGUGGUACAGAAGUGGACGACGAUGAGGUGUUGGAAGAAAUUGCUGAUGAAGUCUUACUAUUGUUGGCUGAUGGAGAAACUUAUACACCAUCUGUAGCUCAGCAAAUACCUGACUCUACUCGAAGUUUGGUAACAUGUACUACAGGCGAUGUACUUCAACCCAGCAGGAGUGCAAGUGACAACGAAAAGGCAAGCACAAGUUCAAGUGAGACAGAGGCAUAUGCCAGUCACAAAUCAUGUAACACAUUAUCAUUGCCUCUGCCAGAACUCUCACGGGCAACCCGAGAUGACUUACAACAGGGAGAUAAAUCAAGACGGGUCUGGUUGCAGCUGAUAGAAGAAUCCAAGAACUACUACAUGAAGUAUUGCCCUCUGCUUGAUGAAAACCCUUAAGCUACGGUUACACUAGCCACUGCUACCCCUGGGCCCAGCCUUGGGCCUGGGACGGAGGCCAGCCUUAUGCCUGGGUUUACAAGGCAAGUGGUUACACACAGCCCAGCCCCAGUCCUGGGCACUCUUGAUCUUGAUUUUGAUACUUGGUGCGCCGAUCUAAACAAAGCGCAUCAGACCUCAAGAUGGCUUCUCUAGGAGACUAUAUAUGGCCUCUUGUGGCCACGCAAUGGACUUUUCAACAGAAGCCAUGUUUAAAACCUUGCCCUGCAGCGUGUGUUUGUUUACAUCUGAGGAUUUCCCAGGUCAAGCGAGGGAUGAUGUUUUCUAAUAAUUUGUGUGCAGCUAAUUAUAACUAAUCAUGCAUGAAAAUAAAUAAAUUGCAUAUAUAGUGAUAUAAUAUCUAGAUAUUUUAUUAUUUAGGAAAAUUUGGGUUUAGUUGUUUGCGUGAAUAAUAUAGUCUCUUAGUUCCUAGUGGUGUGCCCAGG
Molecule: long non-coding RNA, 1063 nt
Organism: Portunus trituberculatus (swimming crab)
Lineage: Eukaryota; Metazoa; Arthropoda; Malacostraca; Decapoda; Portunidae
Exons: 3
Source: RefSeq, a predicted model, not a curated record